RNAcentral lists this ribosomal RNA (427 nucleotides) under uncultured bacterium. RNAcentral's name for it is "bacterial SSU rRNA". It matches the Rfam family "Bacterial small subunit ribosomal RNA", at positions 353 to 772 of the family's 1533-position model. The record is from RNAcentral.
AGUGGGGAAUAUUGGACAAUGGGCGAAAGCCUGAUCCAGCAAUGCCGCGUGUGUGAAGAAGGCCUGCGGGUUGUAAAGCACUUUCAGUGGGGAAGAAAAGUGCAGCGCUAAUAUCGCUGCAUCUUGACGUUACUCACAGAAGAAGCACCGGCUAACUCCGUGCCAGCAGCCGCGGUAAUACGGAGGGUGCGAGCGUUAAUCGGAAUUACUGGGCGUAAAGCGCACGUAGGCGGUCAGGCAAGUCGGGUGUGAAAGCCCUGGGCUCAACCUGGGAAUUGCAUUCGAAACUAUCUGACUAGAGUAUGGGAGAGGGAAGCGGAAUUUCCGGUGUAGCGGUGAAAUGCGUAGAUAUCGGAAGGAACACCAGUGGCGAAGGCGGCUUCCUGGACUAAUACUGACGCUGAGGUGCGAAAGCGUGGGGAGCAAA